Molecule: ribosomal RNA, 1114 nt
Filed under: Clostridioides difficile
Lineage: Bacteria; Bacillati; Bacillota; Clostridia; Peptostreptococcales; Peptostreptococcaceae
Description: partial 23S ribosomal RNA
Rfam family: Bacterial large subunit ribosomal RNA
Source: RNAcentral
GGAUGUGAUGGGGAGCGAAAUUUAGUAGCGAAGUAGCUGAUUUCACACUGUCAAGAAAAGUCUCUAUCGAGGUUAAAGGUACCCGUACCGCAAACCGACACAGGUGGGUGAGGAGAGUAUCCUAAGGCCAGCGAGAGAACUGUUGUUAAGGAACUCGGCAAAAUGACCCCGUAACUUAGGGAUAAGGGGUGCCACCAUCAGGUGGCCGCAGAGAAUAGGCCCAAGCGACUGUUUACCAAAAACAUAGGUUUCUGCUAAGUCGCAAGACGAUGUAUAGGAGCUGACGCCUGCCCGGUGCUGGAAGGUUAAGGGGAUCUGUUAGAGCAAUCGAAGCAGUGAACUUAAGCCCCAGUAAACGGCGGCCGUAACUAUAACGGUCCUAAGGUAGCGAAAUUCCUUGUCGGGUAAGUUCCGACCCGCACGAAAGGCGUAACGAUUUGGGCACUGUCUCAACAACAGACUCGGUGAAAUUGUAAUUCCGGUGAAGAUGCCGGAUACCUGCGACAGGACGGAAAGACCCCAUGGAGCUUUACUGUAGCUUGACAUUGGGUCUUGGUACUACAUGUACAGGAUAGGUGGGAGGCUUUGAAACCAGGACGCCAGUUUUGGCGGAGCCAUCCUUGGGAUACCACCCUUGUAGUACUGGGACUCUAACCAUAGGCCAUGAAUCUGGUCUUGGGACACUGUCAGGUGGGCAGUUUGACUGGGGCGGUCGCCUCCCAAAAGGUAACGGAGGCGCUCAAAGGUUCUCUCAGUACGGUCGGAAAUCGUACGUAGAGUGUAAAGGCAAAAGAGAGCUUGAUUGCAAGACAUACAGGUCGAGCAAGGAUGAAAAUCGGACUUAGUGAUCCGGUGGUUCUGCGUGGAAGGGCCAUCGCUCAACGGAUAAAAGCUACCCUGGGGAUAACAGGCUUAUCUCCCCCAAGAGUCCACAUCGACGGGGAGGUUUGGCACCUCGAUGUCGGCUCAUCACAUCCUGGGGCUGUAGUAGGUCCCAAGGGUUGGGCUGUUCGCCCAUUAAAGUGGUACGCGAGCUGGGUUCAGAACGUCGUGAGACAGUUCGGUCCCUAUCCGUCGCAGGCGUAGGAAAUUUGAGAAGACCUGUCCUUAGUAC